Molecule: transfer RNA, 73 nt
Filed under: Camelus bactrianus (Bactrian camel)
Lineage: Eukaryota; Metazoa; Chordata; Mammalia; Artiodactyla; Camelidae
Also listed under: 2 other names
Rfam family: tRNA
About the family: Transfer RNA (tRNA) molecules are approximately 80 nucleotides in length.
Source: Rfam by way of RNAcentral
GAGGGUACAGCUCAGUGGUAGAGCACAAUGCUUAGCAUCCACAGGGUCCUGGGUUCAAUCCCCAGUACCUCCA